This 460-nucleotide ribosomal RNA is filed under the name uncultured bacterium. RNAcentral describes it as "partial 16S ribosomal RNA". It matches the Rfam family "Bacterial small subunit ribosomal RNA", at positions 338 to 795 of the family's 1533-position model. The record is from RNAcentral.
CCUACGGGGGGCAGCAGUGAGGAAUAUUGGUCAAUGGUCGCGAGCCUGAACCAGCCAAGUCGCGUGAAGGAUGACUGCCCUACGGGUUGUAAACUUCUUUUAUAAGGGAAUAAAGUCUGGCACGUGUGCCUUUUUGUAUGUACUUUAUGAAUAAGGAUCGGCUAACUCCGUGCCAGCAGCCGCGGUAAUACGGAGGAUCCGAGCGUUAUCCGGAUUUAUUGGGUUUAAAGGGAGCGUAGAUGGGUUGUUAAGUCAGUGGUGAAAGUUUGCGGCUCAACCGUAAAAUUGCAGUUGAUACUGGCAGUCUUGAGUACAGUAGAGGUAGGCGGAAUGCGUGGUGUAGCGGUGAAAUGCUUAGAUAUCACGAAGAACUCCGAUUGCGAAGGCAGCUUACUAGACUGCCACUGACACUGAGGCUCGAAAGUGUGGGUAUCAAACAGGAUUAGAUACCCUGGUAGUC